GCGAGAAAUUUAACCAGGUUCAGGUUGUAUAUUUUGCACAAAAGGAUGAUUGAUGCUUUUUCGCAACAUCAAUCACUGGAUCAUAUACGUAAUAGAUCUUAUCUUAUAUUUGGUUGGAGUCAUAAGAGGAUGGAUGGAUGGGAUUGAAAGGACGGAUGGCUUCCAUCCAUCUUUUGGUUCAAAAAAUUAUAAUAAGAAUGGAUGAAAAAGAAGAAAUUGUCCAUCCA
RNAcentral lists this long non-coding RNA (227 nucleotides) under Elaeis guineensis (African oil palm). RNAcentral describes it as "long non-coding RNA (EGUI_LNC006230)". The record is from RNAcentral. Lineage: Eukaryota; Viridiplantae; Streptophyta; Magnoliopsida; Arecales; Arecaceae.